RNAcentral lists this ribosomal RNA (253 nucleotides) under uncultured bacterium. Its description in RNAcentral is "partial 16S ribosomal RNA". It matches the Rfam family "Bacterial small subunit ribosomal RNA", at positions 524 to 776 of the family's 1533-position model. The record is from RNAcentral.
UACGGAGGAUGCAAGCGUUAUCCGGAAUUAUUGGGCGUAAAGCGUCCGCAGGUGGCAGUUCAAGUCUGCUGUCAAAGACCGGGGCUUAACUUCGGAAAGGCAGUGGAAACUGAACAGCUAGAGUAUGGUAGGGGCAGAGGGAAUUCCUGGUGUAGCGGUGAAAUGCGUAGAGAUCAGGAAGAACAUCGGUGGCGAAGGCGCUCUGCUGGACCAUAACUGACACUCAGGGACGAAAGCGUGGGGAGCGAACAGG